CCUACGGGUGGCUGCAGUGGGGAAUAUUGCACAAUGGGCGAAACCCUGAUGCAGCGACGCCGCGUGAGUGAAGAAGUAAUUCGGUAUGUAAAGCUCUAUCAGCAGGGAAGAAAAGGACGGUACCUGAGUAAGAAGCCCCGGCUGACGACGUGCCAGGGGCGGGGGGAAUAGGUGGGGGGCAAGGGUUAUCCGGAUUUACUGGGGGUAAAGGGAGCGUAGACGGCAGUGCAAGUCUGGGGGGAAAGGCGGGGGCUCAACCCCGGACUGCUCUGGACACUGUACGGCUGGAGUGCAGGAGAGGUAAGUGGAAUUCCUAGUGUAGCGGUGAAAUGCGUAGAUAUUAGGAGGAACACCAGUGGCGAAGGCAGCUUACUGGACUGUAACUGACGUUGAGGCUCGAAAGCGUGGGGAGCAAACAGGAUUAGAUACCCUAGUAGUC
Molecule: ribosomal RNA, 439 nt
Filed under: uncultured bacterium
Lineage: Bacteria
Description: partial 16S ribosomal RNA
Rfam family: Bacterial small subunit ribosomal RNA
Source: RNAcentral